This is a long non-coding RNA of Balaenoptera acutorostrata (minke whale), 277 nucleotides long. RefSeq lists it as uncharacterized. The transcript is spliced from 3 exons. Lineage: Eukaryota; Metazoa; Chordata; Mammalia; Artiodactyla; Balaenopteridae. The record is from RefSeq and is a predicted model, not a curated record.
CAAACUGUACGGAACAGGAGGUUAAAGGUGCUGAUUCUCCAAGGAGGGAGAUUGCUAGUAAAGCGGCUGGAAUGGCGAACCCGAGCACAAGGAGAUGAGAAAUGAGGACAAAUUGCAACCUGUACGGAACAGGAGGUUAAAGGUGCUGAUUCUCCAAGGAGGGAGAUUGCUAGUAAAGCGGCUGGAAUGGCGAACCCGAGCUCAAGGAGAUGAGAAAUGAGGACAAAUUGCCACCUGUACGGAACAGGAGGUUAAAGGUGCUGAUUCUCCAAGGAGG